GAUUUGCAUUCGCGUGGCACGCGAUCUGCGAGUUAGCCAUCAACGAGCAAGUGGCCCCCGCGAUAGACGCGGGUGUUUUAUGCGAGAGGAAAGUUCCUUACCCGGGUGAAAAUAACGACGAUGGAAGAUAACAGAUAGCGGCAUCACGCGACUGAAGAGGCGUUCUUCCAGAUUCCACGAGUUUAUUGAAAAUUCGUCGAUAUUGGUAACAUUAUUAAACAGUGGAUCACACUUAAUGUUUCUUCGUCGAGAAUCGUGUCCAAAUCGCAAAUAUUGGUAACACUGUUAAACAGUGAAUCACACUUAAUGUUUCUUCGUCAAGAAUCGUGUCCAAAUUGCAGAUAUUGGUAACACUGUUAAACAGUGGAUCACACUUAAUGUUUCUUCGUCGAGAAUCGUGUCCAAAUUGCAAAUAUUGGUAACAUUGUUAAACAGUGAAUCACUUAAGAUCUUUCUUCGUCAAAAUCGUAUCCAAAUUGCAAAUAUUGGUAACAUUGUUAAACAGUGAAUCACUUAAGAUCUUUCUUCGACAAAAUCGUGUCCAAAUUGCAGAUAUUGGUAACACUGUUAAAUGUUUAUUUGUCGAGAAUCGUGUCCAAAUUGCAAAUAUUGGUAACUGUUAAAUAAUGGAACACGUAAGAUGUUUCUUUAUUGAAGUCGCGUUCAGAUUCUAUGAAUUAUUUGCAGACAUCGAUAACACAGUUAAAUUUUGCAGACAUAGAUAACAUAGUUAAAGAAUUUUUGUUAACAGUAGAGAGUCUAAAUAUGUAUUUCCGUGUGCGUUGUUUAAUAUAAAUACGACCAAGUUCCUCGAAUUAUUCGUAGAUAAUACAAUUUGCUGUGCCAUCGUAUUUGAACAGAGAUUUCUAAAUAACAAUAAAUAAUGUAAUAGCCAUUGCUAUCAAGGAAAUAAUUCUUCGAAUUAUUUGUGAUUAUUAGUACUACAAUCUGAACAAUAUCUAUCGUCACUGCAAACUUUCCAUAAAUGCACAAAUCCCUUGGUGCAAGCGUCCUUCAACGUGAACUUUAAUAAUUUGCAUACCAUCCUACCUCAAUUUCUUAAUCUCCGUUACAAUCAAAUUGCAAAGUUGAAAACCUUGUUCAUGACGUACGAUAAACUGACUUUCAUUAAGAUUACGCUCGAGACGUCACACGUAACGGUAGCGUAACAGCGCCGAUAAGCGGCAAAUCGAGUUGAUGAUGUAGCAACGUUAGAAAAAAAAAAAAAAAAGGAAAAGAGAGGGAAUAAAUAUGCUUCUUUUUAUCAGACGAACCAUUCAACUUGUCGAGAUGAUUUAACAUCCGAUUCUUUCAGGACGUUUCUAAUCGGGCUCGAUCUCUCUCCUUUGAUCUUAAUGAAUAAUUUCUGCGUGCAACGUCGUUACGUCAUUACGUUUAAUAUUCUUUCGCAUUAAUCAUCGCUGAGAAAGAGAGAGAGAAAAAAGAGAGAAAUAACUGCGAGUAUCUUAGAGCGAAUAUUGCGUGUUCGCGUGACGUGGAUGUGAAACUUUCUCGUAAUUAGACGUGAAACCGCGUAGAUCCGAGCGGAAUAACGACACCAGAAAGGACGAAACUGGAGGAGGAAGGAAGACGGAAAGAAAUUUUAUGCCGUUUGUUGGAAUCUUUAAUGAACCGAAUUUUUUAAUUACGCAAGUUUUAUUGUGAGAGGAAGGGGAGGAUAUACGAUUGAAUUAAAUUGAAAAUAAAGAUUCAAUUAUUGAAACUGAUUGCGCUAGGUUUUAAAAAUUACAGAGUAUGGUUUAUGAAGAGUUAUUGCAA
Long non-coding RNA from Frieseomelitta varia, 1779 nucleotides. RefSeq lists it as uncharacterized. NCBI's taxonomy places the organism in Eukaryota, Metazoa, Arthropoda, Insecta, Hymenoptera, Apidae. The transcript has 3 exons. The record is from RefSeq and is a predicted model, not a curated record.